Molecule: unclassified non-coding RNA, 317 nt
Filed under: uncultured fungus
Lineage: Eukaryota; Fungi
Description: partial contains 18S rRNA, ITS1, 5.8S rRNA, ITS2 and 28S rRNA
Source: RNAcentral
AAGGAUCAUUAACACGUACGAAAGUACACACCAACCCUGUGAACCUUAUUUAUAACGAGAUUCUGUACGCCCUCUCCCUUUGUCUAGGAGGGUGUGACGUGGUGAUGCUAGUGGAUCCUGUGUCAUGCGGGAGCAUCACGUCACGCCCACGCGUGUCUUUACACGAGCCCUAGGCGGAGGUUAUCCAUACCCAACCAUUGGCAACACUACCUAUUUCACCUUUAAACACAUUCGUCUGAUGUGGCGGCUUGGAGAAAUCCUCGCAGCUUGAUUAUCUAAACUAAGCACAACUCUUAGCAAUGGAUAUCUAGGUUCUC